UUGGAAUGGCCGAUAUCUGAUUAGCUAGUUGGUAGGGUAAAAGCCUACCAAGGCGACGAUCAGUAGCUGGUCUGAGAGGACGACCAGCCACACUGGAACUGAGACACGGUCCAGACUCCUACGGGAGGCAGCAGUGGGGAAUUUUGGACAAUGGGGGCAACCCUGAUCCAGCAAUGCCGCGUGAGUGAAGAAGGCCCUCGGGUUGUAAAGCUCUUUUGUCAGGGAAGAAACGGAGUUCUCUAAUAUAGGAUUCUA
Molecule: ribosomal RNA, 255 nt
Filed under: uncultured bacterium
Lineage: Bacteria
Description: partial 16S ribosomal RNA
Rfam family: Bacterial small subunit ribosomal RNA
Source: RNAcentral